This 433-nucleotide ribosomal RNA is filed under the name uncultured bacterium. RNAcentral's name for it is "partial 16S ribosomal RNA". It matches the Rfam family "Bacterial small subunit ribosomal RNA", at positions 29 to 507 of the family's 1533-position model. The record is from RNAcentral.
AACGAACGCUGGCGGCAUGCCUAACACAUGCAAGUCGAACGAGACCUUCGGGACUAGUGGCUCACGGCUGCGUAACGCGUGGGAACCUGCCCUUAGGUUCGGAAUAACUCGCCGAAGGGGGUGCUCAUACGGGAAAGUUUCCUCGUACCAAAGAUUUAUCGCCGUUGGAUGGGCCCGCGUUGGAUUAGCUAGUUGGUAGGGUAAAAGCCUACCAAGGCGACGAUCCAUAGCUGGUCUGAGAGGAUGAUCAGCCACACUGGGACUGAGACACGGCCCAGACUCCUACGGGAGGCAGCAGUGGGGAAUAUUGGACAAUGGGCGAAAGCCUGAUCCAGCAAUGCCGCGUGAGUGAUGAAGGCCUUAGGGUUGUAAAGCUCUUUUACCCGGGAUGAUAAUGACAGUACCGGGAGAAUAAGCUCCGGCUAACUCCGUG